This 374-nucleotide ribosomal RNA is filed under the name uncultured bacterium. RNAcentral describes it as "bacterial SSU rRNA". It matches the Rfam family "Bacterial small subunit ribosomal RNA", at positions 28 to 405 of the family's 1533-position model. The record is from RNAcentral.
GAUGAACGCUAGCGGCAGGCUUAACACAUGCAAGUCGAGGGGUAUAGUUCUUCGGAACUAGAGACCGGCGCACGGGUGCGUAACGCGUAUGCAAUCUACCUUUUGCAGAGGGAUAGCCCAGAGAAAUUUGGAUUAAUACCUCAUAGUAUGUGAGAAUGGCAUCAUUUUCACAUUAAAGUCACAACGGCAAAAGAUGAGCAUGCGUCCCAUUAGCUAGUUGGUAAGGUAACGGCUUACCAAGGCAACGAUGGGUAGGGGUCCUGAGAGGGAGAUCCCCCACACUGGUACUGAGACACGGACCAGACUCCUACGGGAGGCAGCAGUGAGGAAUAUUGGACAAUGGGCGCAAGCCUGAUCCAGCCAUGCCGCUAGCG